UACGAAGGGGGCUAGCGUUGUUCGGAAUUACUGGGCGUAAAGCGUGCGCAGGCGGCUUCUCAAGUCAGGGGUGAAAGCCCAGAGCUCAACUCUGGAAUUGCCUUUGAGACUGAGAAGCUUGAGUACGAGAGAGGUGAGUGGAAUUCCCAGUGUAGAGGUGAAAUUCGUAGAUAUUGGGAAGAACACCGGUGGCGAAGGCGGCUACCUGGCCCAUUCUUGACGCUGAGGCGCGAAAGCUAGGGGAGCGAACGGG
This 253-nucleotide ribosomal RNA is filed under the name uncultured bacterium. RNAcentral's name for it is "partial 16S ribosomal RNA". It matches the Rfam family "Bacterial small subunit ribosomal RNA", at positions 524 to 776 of the family's 1533-position model. The record is from RNAcentral.